ACUAAGCGUACACGGUGGAUGCCCUGGCAGUCAGAGGCGAUGAAGGACGUGCUAAUCUGCGAUAAGCGUCGGUAAGGUGAUAUGAACCGUUAUAACCGGCGAUUUCCGAAUGGGGAAACCCAGUGUGAUUCGUCACACUAUCAUUAACUGAAUCCAUAGGUUAAUGAGGCGAACCGGGGGAACUGAAACAUCUAAGUACCCCGAGGAAAAGAAAUCAACCGAGAUUCCCCCAGUAGCGGCGAGCGAACGGGGAGCAGCCCAGAGCCUGAAUCAGUGUGUGUGUUAGUGGAAGCGUCUGGAAAGGCGCGCGAUACAGGGUGACAGCCCCGUACACAAAAAUGCACAUGCUGUGAGCUCGAUGAGUAGGGCGGGACACGUGGUAUCCUGUCUGAAUAUGGGGGGACCAUCCUCCAAGGCUAAAUACUCCUGACUGACCGAUAGUGAACCAGUACCGUGAGGGAAAGGCGAAAAGAACCCCGGCGAGGGGAGUGAAAAAGAACCUGAAACCGUGUACGUACAAGCAGUGGGAGCACAGAGCAAUCUGUGUGACUGCGUACCUUUUGUAUAAUGGGUCAGCGACUUAUAUUCUGUAGCAAGGUUAACCGAAUAGGGGAGCCGAAGGGAAACCGAGUCUUAACUGGGCGUUAAGUUGCAGGGUAUAGACCCGAAACCCGGUGAUCUAGCCAUGGGCAGGUUGAAGGUUGGGUAACACUAACUGGAGGACCGAACCGACUAAUGUUGAAAAAUUAGCGGAUGACUUGUGGCUGGGGGUGAAAGGCCAAUCAAACCGGGAGAUAGCUGGUUCUCCCCGAAAGCUAUUUAGGUAGCGCCUCGUGAAUUCAUCUCCGGGGGUAGAGCACUGUUUCGGCAAGGGGGUCAUCCCGACUUACCAACCCGAUGCAAACUGCGAAUACCGGAGAAUGUUAUCACGGGAGACACACGGCGGGUGCUAACGUCCGUCGUGAAGAGGGAAACAACCCAGACCGCCAGCUAAGGUCCCAAAGUCAUGGUUAAGUGGGAAACGAUGUGGGAAGGCCCAGACAGCCAGGAUGUUGGCUUAGAAGCAGCCAUCAUUUAAAGAAAGCGUAAUAGCUCACUGGUCGAGUCGGCCUGCGCGGAAGAUGUAACGGGGCUAAACCAUGCACCGAAGCUGCGGCAGCGACGCUUAUGCGUUGUUGGGUAGGGGAGCGUUCUGUAAGCCUGUGAAGGUGUGCUGUGAGGCAUGCUGGAGGUAUCAGAAGUGCGAAUGCUGACAUAAGUAACGAUAAAGCGGGUGAAAAGCCCGCUCGCCGGAAGACCAAGGGUUCCUGUCCAACGUUAAUCGGGGCAGGGUGAGUCGACCCCUAAGGCGAGGCCGAAAGGCGUAGUCGAUGGGAAACAGGUUAAUAUUCCUGUACUUGGUGUUACUGCGAAGGGGGGACGGAGAAGGCUAUGUUGGCCGGGCGACGGUUGUCCCGGUUUAAGCGUGUAGGCUGGUUUUCCAGGCAAAUCCGGAAAAUCAAGGCUGAGGCGUGAUGACGAGGCACUACGGUGCUGAAGCAACAAAUGCCCUGCUUCCAGGAAAAGCCUCUAAGCAUCAGGUAACAUCAAAUCGUACCCCAAACCGACACAGGUGGUCAGGUAGAGAAUACCAAGGCGCUUGAGAGAACUCGGGUGAAGGAACUAGGCAAAAUGGUGCCGUAACUUCGGGAGAAGGCACGCUGAUAUGUAGGUGAAGUCCCUCGCGGAUGGAGCUGAAAUCAGUCGAAGAUACCAGCUGGCUGCAACUGUUUAUUAAAAACACAGCACUGUGCAAACACGAAAGUGGACGUAUACGGUGUGACGCCUGCCCGGUGCCGGAAGGUUAAUUGAUGGGGUUAGCGCAAGCGAAGCUCUUGAUCGAAGCCCCGGUAAACGGCGGCCGUAACUAUAACGGUCCUAAGGUAGCGAAAUUCCUUGUCGGGUAAGUUCCGACCUGCACGAAUGGCGUAAUGAUGGCCAGGCUGUCUCCACCCGAGACUCAGUGAAAUUGAACUCGCUGUGAAGAUGCAGUGUACCCGCGGCAAGACGGAAAGACCCCGUGAACCUUUACUAUAGCUUGACACUGAACAUUGAGCCUUGAUGUGUAGGAUAGGUGGGAGGCUUUGAAGUGUGGACGCCAGUCUGCAUGGAGCCGACCUUGAAAUACCACCCUUUAAUGUUUGAUGUUCUAACGUUGACCCGUAAUCCGGGUUGCGGACAGUGUCUGGUGGGUAGUUUGACUGGGGCGGUCUCCUCCUAAAGAGUAACGGAGGAGCACGAAGGUUGGCUAAUCCUGGUCGGACAUCAGGAGGUUAGUGCAAUGGCAUAAGCCAGCUUGACUGCGAGCGUGACGGCGCGAGCAGGUGCGAAAGCAGGUCAUAGUGAUCCGGUGGUUCUGAAUGGAAGGGCCAUCGCUCAACGGAUAAAAGGUACUCCGGGGAUAACAGGCUGAUACCGCCCAAGAGUUCAUAUCGACGGCGGUGUUUGGCACCUCGAUGUCGGCUCAUCACAUCCUGGGGCUGAAGUAGGUCCCAAGGGUAUGGCUGUUCGCCAUUUAAAGUGGUACGCGAGCUGGGUUUAGAACGUCGUGAGACAGUUCGGUCCCUAUCUGCCGUGGGCGCUGGAGAAUUGAGGGGGGCUGCUCCUAGUACGAGAGGACCGGAGUGGACGCAUCACUGGUGUUCGGGUUGUCAUGCCAAUGGCACUGCCCGGUAGCUAAAUGCGGAAGAGAUAAGUGCUGAAAGCAUCUAAGCACGAAACUUGCCCCGAGAUGAGUUCUCCCUGACUCCUUGAGAGUCCUGAAGGAACGUUGAAGACGACGACGUUGAUAGGCCGGGUGUGUAAGCGCAGCGAUGCGUUGAGCUAACCGGUACUAAUGAACCGUGAGGCUUAACC
This 2895-nucleotide ribosomal RNA is filed under the name Escherichia coli. RNAcentral describes it as "bacterial LSU rRNA". It matches the Rfam family "Bacterial large subunit ribosomal RNA". Lineage: Bacteria; Pseudomonadati; Pseudomonadota; Gammaproteobacteria; Enterobacterales; Enterobacteriaceae. The record is from RNAcentral.